GGUUGCGAUCAUACCAGCACUAACGCACCGGAUCCCAUCAGAACUCCGCAGUUAAGCGUGCUUGGGCGAGAGUAGUACUAGGAUGGGUGACCCCCUGGGAAGUCCUCGUGUUGCAACCC
RNAcentral lists this ribosomal RNA (119 nucleotides) under Helianthus annuus (common sunflower). Lineage: Eukaryota; Viridiplantae; Streptophyta; Magnoliopsida; Asterales; Asteraceae. The record is from RNAcentral.